RNAcentral lists this ribosomal RNA (301 nucleotides) under uncultured bacterium. RNAcentral describes it as "partial 16S ribosomal RNA". It matches the Rfam family "Bacterial small subunit ribosomal RNA", at positions 509 to 807 of the family's 1533-position model. The record is from RNAcentral.
CAGUAGCCACGGUAAUACGAAGGGUGCAAGCGUUACUUGGAAUUACUGGGCGUAAAGCGUGCGUAGGUGGUGGUUUAAGUCCGUUGUGAAAGCCCUGGGCUCAACCUGGGAAUUGCAGUGGAUACUGGGUCACUAGAGUGUGGUAGAGGAUAGUGGAAUUUCCGGUGUAGCAGUGAAAUGCGUAGAGAUCGGAAGGAACAUCUGUGGCGAAGGCGACUAUCUGGGCCAACACUGACACUGAGGCACGAAAGCGUGGGGAGCAAACAGGAUUAGAUACCCCCGUAGUCCCUGUCUCUUAUAC